ACGGACGAGAAGCUUGCUUCUCUGAUGUUAGCGGCGGACGGGUGAGUAACACGUGGAUAACCUACCUAUAAGACUGGGAUAACUUCGGGAAACCGGAGCUAAUACCGGAUAAUAUUUUGAACCGCAUGGUUCAAAAGUGAAAGACGGUCUUGCUGUCACUUAUAGAUGGAUCCGCGCUGCAUUUCGUAGUUGGUAAGGUAACGGCUUACCAAGGCAACGAUACGUAGCCGACCUGAGAGGGUGAUCGGCCACACUGGAACUGAGACACGGUCCAGACUCCUACGGGAGGCAGCAGUAGGGAAUCUUCCGCAAUGGGCGAAAGCCUGACGGAGCAACGCCGCGUGAGUGAUGAAGGUCUUCGGAUCGUAAAACUCUGUUAUUAGGGAAGAACAUAUGUGUAAGUAACUGUGCACAUCUUGACGGUACCUAAUCAGAAAGCCACGGCUAACUACGUGCCAGCAGCCGCGGUAAUACGUAGGUGGCAAGCGUUAUCCGGAAUUAUUGGGCGUAAAGCGCGCGUAGGCGGUUUUUUAAGUCUGAUGUGAAAGCCCACGGCUCAACCGUGGAGGGUCAUUGGAAACUGGAAAACUUGAGUGCAGAAGAGGAAAGUGGAAUUCCAUGUGUAGCGGUGAAAUGCGCAGAGAUAUGGAGGAACACCAGUGGCGAAGGCGACUUUCUGGUCUGUAACUGACGCUGAUGUGCGAAAGCGUGGGGAUCAAACAGGAUUAGAUACCCUGGUAGUCCACGCCGUAAACGAUGAGUGCUAAGUGUUAGGGGGUUUCCGCCCCUUAGUGCUGCAGCUAACGCAUUAAGCACUCCGCCUGGGGAGUACGACCGCAAGGUUGAAACUCAAAGGAAUUGACGGGGACCCGCACAAGCGGUGGAGCAUGUGGUUUAAUUCGAAGCAACGCGAAGAACCUUACCAAAUCUUGACAUCCUUUGACAACUCUAGAGAUAGAGCCUUCCCUUCGGGGGACAAAGUGACAGGUGGUGCAUGGUUGUCGUCAGCUCGUGUCGUGAGAUGUUGGGUUAAGUCCCGCAACGAGCGCAACCCUUAAGCUUAGUUGCCAUCAUUAAGUUGGGCACUCUAAGUUGACUGCCGGUGACAAACCGGAGGAAGGUGGGGAUGACGUCAAAUCAUCAUGCCCCUUAUGAUUUGGGCUACACACGUGCUACAAUGGACAAUACAAAGGGCAGCGAAACCGCGAGGUCAAGCAAAUCCCAUAAAGUUGUUCUCAGUUCGGAUUGUAGUCUGCAACUCGACUACAUGAAGCUGGAAUCGCUAGUAAUCGUAGAUCAGCAUGCUACGGUGAAUACGUUCGGGUAUUGUACACACCGCCCGUCACACCACGAGAGUUUGUAACACCCGAAGCCGGUGGAGUAACCAUUAGGAGCU
Molecule: ribosomal RNA, 1396 nt
Filed under: Staphylococcus aureus
Lineage: Bacteria; Bacillati; Bacillota; Bacilli; Caryophanales; Staphylococcaceae
Description: bacterial SSU rRNA
Rfam family: Bacterial small subunit ribosomal RNA
Source: RNAcentral